Molecule: long non-coding RNA, 777 nt
Organism: Mustela lutreola (European mink)
Lineage: Eukaryota; Metazoa; Chordata; Mammalia; Carnivora; Mustelidae
Exons: 3
Source: RefSeq, a predicted model, not a curated record
CAAGUGCUGCAAGUUAGGGUGUUGUGGGUGGGGGGGCAGGGUUGUUUGUUGUUCUUAUUGGAGAGGAGGUUGUUAAACCUGCCAGGGCUUCCCUCCCCUCUCCCACGGGAAAACUGAAACACACCUGUUAUUCUACCUGAAGACCAGUUUCAACCCCAUGUCCCCAAAGUUCCCUUUUCUGAGCAGGCUCUGGGGCCAAGAGCUGAACCAAGAAAGACCUCCUGAGAAGACUUCCUAAGGUACCAUGUCUGUGAAUGAAGACCACAUCUGUACUUUUCAUUGCCCUAUCACUAACACCUAGCAUAGCUCUGAGCACAUAAAGCACUCAGCAAGUCUUCGUUGAAUGGCUCAGUGAGUGAAAAACACUGGACACAGAUGAGGCAGCAGCAUCAACUGUGAUCGAUGAUCUUGAAGUUUGUGUCACAAUCACAACGACUUUGACAAAGAAACUCGAGAAGACACCAAGGAGCUUGUUAGAAGUGCUGAAUCUCACACCUGAUCCCAAACCUGUUGAAUCAGAAUCGGCAUCAGAACCUACUUCAAGACAGAAUAAAAAUCACCGGAACAUUUCCAGCCCAGCCAACUGGUUCACUGGUAUCAGACUCUUCAAGAUGCUCCCAACCAGAAGGGCCCAACUGCUGACCAGUCCUUGAAAAGAACAUCUUCAGGGAACACUUCCUUUUUAACUGGGUCUCAUUUUGAGGUCUCAGGUUCCAUAUUAGAAUGUAAACCAGCAGUCCUUGGAUCUUAACUCUAGGAAGCAAAUGGAGGGUGCUG